ACUCCUACGGGAGGCAGCAGUGGGGAAUAUUGCACAAUGGGGAAACCCUGAUGCAGCCAUGCCGCGUGUGUGAAGAAGGCCUUCGGUUGUAAAGCACUUUCAGUCGUGAGGAAGGUAGUGUAGUUAAUAGCUGCAUUAUUUGACGUUAGCGACAGAAGAAGCACCGGCUAACUCCGUGCCAGCAGCCGCGGUAAUACGGAGGUGCGAGCGUUAAUCGGAAUUAACUGGGCGUAAAGCGCAUGCAGGUGGUUUGUUAAGUCAGAUGUGAAAGCCCGGGGGCUCAACCUCGGAAUUGCAUUUGAAACUGGCAGGCUAGAGUCGUUGUAGAGGGGGUAGAAUUUCAGGUGUAGCGGUGAAAUGCGUAGAGAUCUGAAGGAAUACCAGUGGCGAAGGCGGCCCCCUGGACAAGACUGACGCUCAGAUGCGAAAGCGUGGGGAGCAAACAGGAUUAGAUACCCUGGUAGGAUAGCG
RNAcentral lists this ribosomal RNA (471 nucleotides) under uncultured bacterium. RNAcentral's name for it is "bacterial SSU rRNA". It matches the Rfam family "Bacterial small subunit ribosomal RNA", at positions 335 to 799 of the family's 1533-position model. The record is from RNAcentral.